Molecule: small nuclear RNA, 108 nt
Filed under: Microcebus murinus (gray mouse lemur)
Lineage: Eukaryota; Metazoa; Chordata; Mammalia; Primates; Cheirogaleidae
Source: RNAcentral
UUGCUUUGGUAGCACAUAUACUAAAAUUGGAACAAUGCAGAGAAGAUUAGCAUGGCCCCUGCACUGCACAGGGGUGACAUCCAAAUUCAUGAAGUGCUCCAUAUUUAA